This 446-nucleotide ribosomal RNA is filed under the name uncultured bacterium. Its description in RNAcentral is "bacterial SSU rRNA". It matches the Rfam family "Bacterial small subunit ribosomal RNA", at positions 29 to 524 of the family's 1533-position model. The record is from RNAcentral.
AACGAACGCUGGCGGCAGGCCUAACACAUGCAAGUCGAGCGCCCAGCAAUGGGAGCGGCAGACGGGUGAGUAACACGUGGGAACCUUCCCUAUAGUACGGAAUAGCCCAGGGAAACUUGGAGUAAUACCGCAUACGCCCGAGAGGGGAAAGAUUUAUCGCUAUAGGAUGGGCCCGCGUAGGAUUAGCUAGUUGGUGAGGUAAUGGCUCACCAAGGCGACGAUCCUUAGCUGGUCUGAGAGGACGACCAGCCACACUGGGACUGAGACACGGCCCAGACUCCUACGGGAGGCAGCAGUGGGGAAUAUUGGACAAUGGGCGCAAGCCUGAUCCAGCCAUGCCGCGUGAGUGAUGAAGGCCUUAGGGUUAUAAAGCUCUUUGCCGGGACGAUAAUGACGGUACCCGGAGAAUAAGUCCCGGCUAACUUCGUGCCAGCAGCCGCGGUAAU